Myxocyprinus asiaticus (Chinese sucker) is the source of this 6853-nucleotide RNA transcript. It is a transcript of the gene named regulator of G-protein signaling 7-like, with no coding region annotated. Lineage: Eukaryota; Metazoa; Chordata; Actinopteri; Cypriniformes; Catostomidae. The record is from RefSeq and is a predicted model, not a curated record. The transcript is spliced from 17 exons.
GCCGCUCGCUGGAGGAGAGGAAAGCGAUAGUGUUCACACCGAGGGGCAAAUGUUCAUUCUUUCCAAUGAAUAACUGCCCUUCCAGCGCCACUGCCAGCUGACAAACCGCCCUGCGCGAGGAAGCGUCCAGCGCGUGAGAUUGUCUAAGGAGUAUCUGUCAGCGGCGGCUCUGGCUGUUCUUCUGGUUGAAUUAUGGCGCAGCCGAACACGUGUGGUCAGAGCACUAAUGGUGUGACCGAUGAGUCUCCAAACAUGCUGGUGUACAGGAAGAUGGAAGACAUCAUUGCUCGCAUGCAGGAUGAAAAGAACGGGAUUCCCAUCCGGACCGUCAAGAGUUUUUUGUCAAAGAUCCCGAGUGUGUUUUCCGGCUCUGAUAUUGUCCAGUGGAUGCAGAAACAUCUCCAUAUUGAAGAUCAAGUGGAGGCUCUUCAUCUGGGAACACUGAUGGCGGCUCACGGUUAUUUCUUCCCCAUAUCAGAUCACGUCCUCACUUUGAAGGAUGACGGAACAUUCUACCGCUUUCAGACUCCAUACUUCUGGCCAUCAAACUGCUGGGAACCAGAAAACACUGACUAUGCCGUUUAUCUCUGCAAACGAACAAUGCAAAAUAAAGCUCGUCUGGAGUUGGCUGAUUAUGAAGCUGAGAGUUUGGCGAGACUCCAGAGAGCUUUUGCACGAAAAUGGGAGUUUAUAUUUAUGCAAGCAGAAGCACAAGCGAAAGUGGACAAAAAACGGGACAAAAUUGAGCGUAAGAUUUUGGACAGUCAGGAGCGAGCAUUCUGGGACGUACACAGACCGGUGCCUGGCUGUGUGAACACUACUGAAGCAGACAUAAAGAAAUCUUCACGGAUGAAGCAGCCACACAAAACACGGAAGUCAGUAUACGGUCUACAGAAUGACAUCCGCUGUCACAGUCCGACUCACACGGCCACACCUGAAGUCAAAGAGCCCACAGAGGAGGAGCUACGCCAUCAGAUACAAUUUUGGCAAGCGCAGUUAGACAGACAUCGGUUAAAAAUGUCUAAAGUUGCAGAGAGUUUGCUGAGUUUCUCCGAGCAGUAUAUGGAGUAUGAUCCGUUCUUCACAACACCAGAACCUUCAAACCCCUGGAUCACUGAUGACAACACGUCCUGGGAGCUGGAGGCCAGUAAGGAACCUGGACAGCAGAGGGUGAAGCGUUGGGGUUUCGGAUUCAAUGAGGUUUUGAAGGAUCCAGUUGGAAGAGAACAGUUCCUGAAGUUUCUUGAAUCAGAGUUCAGCUCAGAGAACCUGAGAUUUUGGCUGGCCGUCCAGGAACUGAAGAAGCGUCCGAUCCAUGAGGUGCCCAGCAGGGUGCAGGAGAUCUGGGAAGAGUUUCUUGCACCUGGAGCUCCGAGUGCCAUCAACGUCGACUCCAAGAGUUACGAAAAAACCACACGGAACGUGAAAGAUCCCGGACGCUACGCUUUCGAAGAUGCUCAGGAGCACAUCUACAAACUCAUGAAGAGUGACUCUUACAGUCGCUUCAUUAGAUCCAGUGCCUACCAGGAGAUGCUGCAGGCCAAGAAAAAGGUAAAACGACUGGAAACGGCGAUCUAAGCACUGCUGCGCUCGCAUCACACAACUGCAGCUGGACUCUUAACACACACACACACUCUUACUCUCAGGGACUUCAAGUCUCCGCUGGUCUUGAACCGCAUAUAUUGCACUUGAAACUGGAAAGCACAGAUUUCACAAAUUAGCAUCACAAAAGUGAAUAUAAGUGCACCAUGAAACAGUUUUAUUGAGACACUUGGUAGCUAGUAAACUAGAUUCACACAAGUAAAACGGCAUAUUCUCAUGUGCUUUUUAGAGUUGCAUUUGUGAAAUAAUCAAUACUUGUUACUUUUGGAUGAACAGAAAUGGGCUGCGCAGGAUCAGAAAUUAAAGUUUUAUUACACUCAAAGAAUAUUUUUGCCUAUUUUUAAGAUUUAAGCAUUUCAGUAUCAUAACCAAAAUAGUCAUUUAACCAAAAACAAUUAUUAAUAUUUUUUUUUACAUUUUAUUUUAAGAAUUUGUAAAUUUAAUUAGAUGGCAUUUUGUUAUGAAAAUGACAUUUUAGCGUACAGGGCAAUAUCUGACCCAGAAUCAGAUUUUUAGGGGCAUUGUUUUAUCUAUAUGAAGGCAUUGAGUGUCAUCUUUAUGUAAAAUACUUCAAUUUAAUACAUUUAUUAAAUUCCAAAUUAAUUCAACAAGGCUGUUACCCAGGGGUCUGUGUAUCUCAGCGAGUAUUGACGCUGACUAUCACACCUGGAGUCGUGAGUUCAAAUCCAGGGUGUGCUGAGUGACUCCAGCCAGGUCUCCUAAGCAACCAAAUUGGCCCGGUUGCUAGGGAGGGUAGAGUCACAUGGGUUAACCUCCUCGUGGUCACUAUAAUGUGGUUCUCGCUCUCGGUGGGGCGAGUUGUGCGUGGAUGCAGCGGAGAAUAGCGUGAAGCCUCCACAUGCGCAACGUCUCCACGGUAACGUGCUCAACAAGCCACGUGAUAAGAUGCGCGGAUUGACGGUCUCAGACGUGAAGGCAAACGAGAUUCGUCCUCCGCCACCCGGAUUGAGUCACUACGCCACCACGAGGACUUAGAGCGCAUUGGGAAUUGGGCGUUCCAAGUUGGGGAGAAAAUUAAAAAAAAAGGCCGUUACCCAUAAAUUUUAAAUUAGCAUCAAAUCAUAUUCUGUGAUAUUUAUGAUGAUUAGAAUUUAAAAAAUUUAAAUGUAUCAGAUGUUACAAAUAAAUAGAGCAUUUUUUGCCCCUAUAUUUUGAAUUUCAGGGACAGUUUUGUCAGUUUCACUGGCUUUUUUGCUUCAGUUCCCCAUUAAUUUCUGAUCCUGCUGCCGUGCCGUUAUUUAAAUGAUUUUUUUCAUCAGGCUAGUUUAUUAUUUUGUCAAUCUAUUUCAGAUAAUCCCACCCCUAAAUGGCACAUACAAAUAAAAUGAACUGUAACUGUGCUUUACAAUCAGUCAGUCUGUGUUUUCCUGUCUGGGUCGUUCUUGUCCAGAAUAAACUCAAUGUGGAUCAGACUUGAUACUGAUAGUCAAAAUAUGAAGCGCCUGCUGGUGUGACAGAAAUCAGAUGGGUUUAUGGAUGUUUUUGUCUUCAGUGUCAUCAUGUCACUAUUCUGUUUUGCACCCCUUAGGUCUUUGUUUACCUCUUUUGUUUUGCUGCAUGUCUGUUUAAAUUAAAGACACCUUAUUUUCCAUCACAUCUCUUGUUAUUCUUUCAUGUUUUUCCUGUCCUGCACUGGUUUUUCUGUGUGUUCUGCUUUUAUUCUGGUUUGUCAAUUUUGUUUUGAAGUUGUGAAACAGGAAAAGCUGAAGCUGAUUUUUGUGGUAAGUCUGGCAGACAAAUGUUUUGAUUUUGUGUGGCGAUCCAUAUGAAACAGGAUUUUUAUAAAUGCACUCGCGUGUGUUAUUUUUUUCAACUGGUGUUAGUGCAUUUAUUUAGCAUAGAUCUGUCUUAAAGGGAUAGUCGCCCAAAAAUGAAAAUUCUGUCAUUCACUCACCCUCAUGUUGUUCCAAAUCGUAGAACAUGAAACAUGUUCAGUGAAUAAUGACCUAAACUGCUGAAUGACUUGCUAAAGUUGUUAUAUUGACUACUGAUUUGAGAGUUGUGUUCACUAUAACUAUAACUGUGUGGAAAAGAGCGGCAUAAAGAUUUUUCAAAAAUUCUCCUUUUGUGUUGCAUAAAAACAUAUGGGUUUGGAACAACAAUAGGGUGAGUAAAUAAGUAAACUGCUAUGACUAAGCACAGAAUACUGUUCCAUAAAUAACCUCUAGAGAUGAUUUUAGAUGAUGUUCAAGGCUUUGUGUGUGUGGUGUUUUGAGAUAAAUCUUUUGAAUGCUCAUUUCAUAGUUGUUUCUGUGCUGAAUGAUUCACUGUUUCUCUCUUUUGUGGAUUAUUUCUUCACAGAAAAGCAAGAAUCUUUUCUAGGGUCUGAGUGGAAGCUUCUGUUAUGUGACUGAUGCGUCUUGUAUAAUCACACAAACAUGACGUUACGCUUCUGCUCGGGGAUUAAAGGAGCAGCCCAUCUGUUCAUCUAUCUACUGCUCGCCAUUAUUAACACCAGACCAGUUGAGCGCUCACUGCAUGUCCCGGGAGCAGAGGUAUUUUUCAACAUUUCGUUUUUUUCCCUCGUCGCCUCUUUCGUGUGAUGUCGAGGCAUUCUGGACUUCUUCAACAACUCGAAUUUACACAAGCCUUCCAGAAAAGCUAUUUCAACUGCACAUCAGUGGACUUCUGGAGUUUCAGCUGCCCAUUACGAACUGAACACAAAGCAAAUAUUUAAGACUUCUCCAAAUUCUCAUGUACUAAUGUUUGUUGCAAUAUAAACUUUUGUAUGAAAGCACUAGACAGUAUAUGACAGAUAACGUCCCUCUGGAAUGAGCGCUUUGAUGCGGUUUCUCACCUCGUAUAUUUAUUUUUCUACUAUAAUUCAGAACUUCAUUUAUCUCUGGAUGUUUUGUAAAUUUGUGCAUAAAUCCGGGAUAAUCAAAAACACACGAUAAACCGUAACGGAUCAAUCAGAAAGUUUGUCGCCCUCCAUAAACAUAUAAACCAUGGAUGUUUGUGUAGUACGUUACUUGAUUACAUGAUGAUGUAUAGAUGGUAAAGUAUGUCAUGUUAAUGUAUGAACAUAUGUACAGGAUGUUCUGUAAGUAUGUGUAAGUUUUAACAUAUUUGAAUUUUACACGAAUGGAUGUUCAUGUAUGGACAGUAAGGUGAUGAGGUUUAAAUAUUAAUGUAUAAAAAAUAAUUUAUAGACGGUAACAUGGAUAUACUGUAUGUACAGAAGGUCAUGUAUAGAUCUUAACAUAUGGAUGGCAAUAUUUGGAAUGGAUACGAAUGGAUGUUUAUGACAAGCCCUUUGGACAUUUAAUCACGAGCAGGAUAUGCAUUUUAGAUAUCUAUAAUUCAAUUUUCACUAUUGUUAAAAUGUUACAGUAAUGUUUGAUAUUAGCAAUGGAAUUACUUCGUGAAAAUACUAGAACAUUCAUUUUUGAUAUACUGUAAAAUUAGCAUCAUUACUCAUUCUUGAUAUAAAAAAACAGUAAAUUAACAAGUAAAAAACGUUUAUAUCUGUAACCAAAUUUUGACAAUGAUCGGUCAUUCAUGCCUGUUCAUAAACCAAUUACAGAUAUCUAGAAUUCAUUUCUUACCAAUUAAAAUUCAAGUUUCACAUAUCAGCUAUGUACGUCUUUAUAUCCGUAAUUGCUCUGGUACUUGUGCAAACGUCCAUUCCUGAUAUCAACAAUUGAAUUAUGACUAGGAAAAGCGUACAUUUUUGAAUCUGUAAUUUGACUUUCACUCGUGGCAAUGUUCAUUUCACAUAUCUUUGGUGUGAUUGUAAGUAGUAAAUCUUUCAAUUACUCUCCAAUUUAAUUUAGAUAUUUAAAAACACCAAAUCUAACAUGUUGAAUAAAUGUAAAGAUAUCAAAAAUAAUCAUUUUCACUAUUAAAAACAGCAAAGCUGUUAUGUGCAUUUGGAAUUUCUGUAAUUACAUUUUUAAAAGGACAGAUCAUUGUGAAAUUCUUAUAGUCAAAAUGCAGUCAUAGAUAUCAAGAAUUAUGCUUUUUACUUGUUGAAAUUACUCGUAAAAAUACCCAUUAUUAAUAUCAUAAAUGUAAUGCCACCAUUUUUUAUAUAGAGAAUUACUAGUGCAAACCUAAUUAUCAAAAAUGAGUAUUUUUCACUAGUAGUGAUUUUAUUGCUGAUAUCAAGAAUGAACAUUUUAGCUUAUGAAAUUUUAAUUAUAGAUAUGUUUUGAUAUCCUGCACAUGAUUAAAUUAUUGUGCAGGUUUGCGAUAGAUGCGAUCAGUAGCGGAUUUAGGCAUGGGCGACGUGCAGUUGCACAGGGCGGCAUCUUGUGGGGGGAGAGGCACCCUCACAGACCACCCCCCCUACUUUGGGGGGUUUGAACUGGGUUUCGCCCAAGACACCAUACAACCCCCCCCCCCAACCCCCCGUCAACAAUGUCGGGGGCGCAUUGAAGCGGGUUUCACCCAGGGCGCCAUACAAGCUAGAACCGCCACUGGAUGCUAUAUACGAUGAUAAUAUUGUAUGAAUGGUACUAAAUUAUAAUGUGCUCAUGGACAUUUCAUCAGAAGAUGCAAAUUACCCUUGAUAUCUGCUUCAGUCACAAGAUCAAGAGGUCAAAUAAUGACCUGAUACCAAUAGUGGCCCAUUUAUGGACUAAAAUGAAUUAUUUAUUCUGUUUAGCUUUUGAGAAAAUCCCUGAGAUCCAAAGAUUAUUAGAGGAGAGAACAGAAACGGUCUGUCUGUACAACUCAAAUGUUCUUGGUUGUUGCAUUUACAAUAUAUUCUAUGACUGUAAAUACUUUCCAAAAUUAAAUAAAGGGACUCAAGAGAAGAAAACCAAGUUUCCAGUGUCUCAAACACAUCUGCCAUCACCCUCAUCAAAUGUAGCCCCUUUGUUUCCAAUACUACUUAAUUGAAGAACACCUGAGAUUUCGUGGCCACAUCACGUUUCUACCUCGGGUGCAGGGCCGUAGUUAAUGUAGUGAAAGGUGGUAACGACUCUAGGGGCCCACAGGUCUAGGGGGACCCACAACAUAUUUUAAAUGGUAUUUUUUCAUGUGAAAGGGGCCCAGAGCAAUAUACAGUCAGGGGGCCAGUAUUUCUUGCUACAGCCCUGCUCAGGUGUGCAUUCAUUUGAAUUAAAUCAACUGUCCGGAGUCAGGUAUUCAUCACGUCUGUUUUCUGAAGAACAGUCAGUUGUUGUUUGCGAGUGCUGCUCUCUGUCCAGCAGGUGGCGCCUAAAUCACAUCAGGAACGGGACAAUUCGAUAUGGGGGAAUAUAUAUUACACACGCCUAUGUUC